GUCUACGGCCACGCUACCCUGAGAAAGCCCGAUCCUGUUUGAUCUUGGAAGUUAAGCAGGUUUGGGCCUAGUUAGUACUUCGAUGGGAGACCACCUAGGAAGACCAGAUGCUAUAGACA
Molecule: ribosomal RNA, 119 nt
Organism: Pteropus vampyrus (large flying fox)
Lineage: Eukaryota; Metazoa; Chordata; Mammalia; Chiroptera; Pteropodidae
Source: Ensembl